AGCCUACGGGGGGCUGCAGUGGGGAAUAUUGGACAAUGGGGGAAACCCUGAUCCAGCGACGCCGCGUGUGUGAAGAAGGCCUGCGGGUUGUAAAGCACUUUUAGUGGGGACGAAAAGUUUCGGACUAACAAUCCGGGAUCUUGACUUAACCCAAAGAAAAAGCACCGGCUAACUCUGUGCCAGCAGCCGCGGUAAUACAGAGGGUGCGAGCGUUAAUCGGAAUUACUGGGCGUAAAGCGCGCGUAGGCGGUCUUGUAAGUCGGGUGUGAAAGCCCCGGGCUCAACCUGGGAACUGCAUUCGAGACGGCAGGACUGGAGUAUUGGAGAGGGCAGCGGAAUUUCCGGUGUAGCGGUGAAAUGCGUAGAUAUCGGAAGGAACAUCAGUGGCGAAAGCGGCUGCCUGGCCAAAUACUGACGCUCAUGUGCGAAAGCGUGGGGAGCAAACAGGAUUAGAUACCCGGGUAGUCA
This 468-nucleotide ribosomal RNA is filed under the name uncultured Sinobacteraceae bacterium. RNAcentral describes it as "bacterial SSU rRNA". It matches the Rfam family "Bacterial small subunit ribosomal RNA", at positions 335 to 796 of the family's 1533-position model. The record is from RNAcentral. Lineage: Bacteria; Pseudomonadati; Pseudomonadota; Gammaproteobacteria; Nevskiales; Nevskiaceae.